Molecule: ribosomal RNA, 594 nt
Filed under: Basidiomycota sp. 6 HFP-2013
Lineage: Eukaryota; Fungi; Basidiomycota
Description: eukaryotic LSU rRNA
Rfam family: Eukaryotic large subunit ribosomal RNA
Source: RNAcentral
UAGUACCGGCGAGUGAAGCGGGAUGAGCUCAAAUUUAAAAUCUGGCGGCCUCAGGUCGUCCGAGUUGUAGUCUAGAGAAUCGUUUUCCGCGUUGGCCUGUGUACAAGUCCCUUGGAACAGGGCGUCAUAGAGGGUGAGAAUCCCGUCCUUGACACAGAUUACCAAUGCUUUGUGAUGCGAUCUCGAAGAGUCGAGUUGUUUGGGAAUGCAGCUCAAAAUGGGUGGUAAAUUCCAUCUAAAGCUAAAUAUUGGCGAGAGACCGAUAGCGAACAAGUACCGUGAGGGAAAGAUGAAAAGCACUUUGGAAAGAGAGUUAAACAGUACGUGAAAUUGUUAAAAGGGAAACGAUUGAAGUCAGUCAUGCUUUCCGAGACUCAGCCGAUUCUGUCGGUGUACUUCUCGGUUGGCAGGCCAGCAUCAGUUUCGAUCUGUGGAAAAGGUUGGAGGGAACGUGGCAUCUCCGGAUGUGUUAUAGCCCUUCUUCGAAUACAUAGAGCGGGACUGAGGAACGCAGCGCGCCUUUUAUUAGGUUGGCCCUCGGGUACAUACGCGCUUAGGAUGCUGGCAUAAUGGCUUUAAACGACCCUCUAAAAA